GUCUACGGCCACGCCACCCUGAACGUGCCCAAUCUCGUCUGAUCACGGAAGCUAAGCGGGGUGGGGCCUGGUCAGUACUUGGAUGCGAGACCACCUAGGAAGACCAGGAAGACCAGGUGCUGUAUGUG
This 128-nucleotide ribosomal RNA is filed under the name Pteropus alecto (black flying fox). Lineage: Eukaryota; Metazoa; Chordata; Mammalia; Chiroptera; Pteropodidae. The record is from RNAcentral.